GCUAAACGCUGGCGGCGUGUCUUAGCCAUGCAAGUCGAGCGGACUUAUGGGGUAACUUAUAAGUCAGCGGCGGACGGCGGAGUAACACGUAGCUAAACCUACCCUCUGGACGGGGGAUAACCUACCGAAAGGUGGGCUAAUACCCGAUGUAGUCAUCCUGUAUAGGGGUGAUGAAAGGUGGGCUUCUGUUUACAAGCUCAUGCUGGAGGAGGGGGCUGCGGCCUAUCAGGUAGUUGGUAGGGUAAUAGCCUACCAAGCCGAUGACGGGUAGCCGGCCUGAGAGGGUGACCGGCCCGAGGGGCACUGAGAUACGGGUCCCACUCCUACGGGAGGCAGCAGGCUAGAAAUUUGGGCAAUGGGGGAAACCCUGACCCAGUGACGCCGCGUGCAGGAAGGAGCCCUUCGGGGUGUAAACUGCUGUCGUGUAGGGAGAAGGGUACUAAGGUGAACAAUCUUAGUACUUGACGGUACUACAGGAGGAAGCCCAGGCUAACCUCGUGCCAGCAGCCGCGGUAAGAUAGCGUACU
Molecule: ribosomal RNA, 527 nt
Filed under: uncultured bacterium
Lineage: Bacteria
Description: bacterial SSU rRNA
Rfam family: Bacterial small subunit ribosomal RNA
Source: RNAcentral